RNAcentral lists this ribosomal RNA (377 nucleotides) under Rhizobiaceae bacterium. Its description in RNAcentral is "bacterial SSU rRNA". The record is from RNAcentral. Lineage: Bacteria; Pseudomonadati; Pseudomonadota; Alphaproteobacteria; Hyphomicrobiales; Rhizobiaceae.
GGGUGAAGUAACCGCCGUGGGAAAUCUACCGUGCKCUGCGGAAUAGCCUCCGGGAAACUGGAAUUAAUACCCGCAUACGCCCCUACGGGGGAAAGAUUUAUCGGGGUAUGAUGAGCCCCGCGUUGGAUUAGCUAGUUGGUGGGGUAAAGGCCUACCAAGGCGACGAUCCAUAGCUGGUCUGAGAGGAUGAUCAGCCACAUUGGGACUGAGACACGGCCCAAACUCCUACGGGAGGCAGCAGUGGGGAAUAUUGGACAAUGGGCGCAAGCCUGAUCCAGCCAUGCCGCGUGAGUGAUGAAGGCCUUAGGGUUGUAGAGCUCUUUCACCGGAGAAGAUAAUGACGGUAUCCGGAGAAGAAGCCCCGGCUAACUUCGUGC